GGUAAAGGCAGCACUGAUGAGGGAAAGGCAGAACUCAAAAAUACUUUGGGAGUUUUUUCUGAGGCCCUGAGUGAAAGAUACUUAGGCCUCCCAACACUGGCUGGGCAGUCCAAAGAUGGCACUGUUAAAUAUGUAACAGAAAGUUCUAAGGGCAAAGUGUAUGGCUGGAAAGGCCAAGGACUUUCCAAAGCAGCAAGAGAAGUGCUUGUCAAGUCGGGCCUUCAAUCCGUACCUACUUUCACCAUGAGUUGCUUUCAACUCACAAAUAAAAUAUGCCGGAACCUGGAUUCAAUCUCCUCGAAAUUC
Molecule: ribosomal RNA, 306 nt
Filed under: Triticum aestivum (bread wheat)
Lineage: Eukaryota; Viridiplantae; Streptophyta; Magnoliopsida; Poales; Poaceae
Description: partial small subunit ribosomal RNA
Source: RNAcentral